UUUCUUUAUUCUCACGCAGUUCAUGCUGAGUUAGAACUUAGAACUUCCGAUUGGCACCAACCAGAGGCAGACAACACAAAGAGGAAGGGUUUAUGGUAACUUAUAUAUCUUCACACUCUUACUCAGGCUUCGCUAGAGAAAGAUGAAAAACCUUAAACGCUCUACAAAGGCAUGACCUUCAAUUCCCAAUUGUUUUUAGGGUUUAUUUCCAGGUCCUCCAAAUCCUCUAAAGCCAACGGUUUCAAUUUGUCUCGCACUCUGAUUUGCUUAAGCUGAAGAUCAAGCCUGUGCAAACUGGGUUUCAUGCAAGGAAUUUUUAGUAUUGGAAGCAUUUGUUAAGUUGAGCCAUAUGCAAUGUAUGGCCAAGCUAAUUAUGGCCAUCAGUUUGGGCAGGGUCCUCGGAUACCCAUGACACCUGUAAACAACCAACAGCGCCCACCAGCUCUGCCUCCACCUCCUGUUCAAUACCAACAGGGACCUCCACCCCCUCCGCCUCCUGUAGUUCAGCAGGCUACAUCUGUUGUCCCACC
Molecule: non-coding RNA, 530 nt
Organism: Prunus avium (sweet cherry)
Lineage: Eukaryota; Viridiplantae; Streptophyta; Magnoliopsida; Rosales; Rosaceae
Source: RefSeq, a predicted model, not a curated record